Molecule: ribosomal RNA, 274 nt
Filed under: uncultured prokaryote
Description: partial 16S ribosomal RNA
Rfam family: Archaeal small subunit ribosomal RNA
Source: RNAcentral
CACCGGCAGCUCGAGUGGUAGCCGCGUUUAUUGGGCCUAAAGCGUCCGUAGCCGGUCCGAUAAGUCUCUGGUGAAAGCCCACAGCUCAACUGUGGGAAUCGCUGGAGAUACUAUCGGACUUGAGGCCGGGAGAGGCUGGAGGUACUCCCAGGGUAGGGGUGAAAUCCUAUAAUCCUGGGAGGACCACCUGUGGCGAAGGCGUCCAGCUGGAACGGACCUGACGGUGAGGGACGAAAGCCAGGGGCGCGAACCGGAUUAGAUACCCUAGUAGUCC